Non-coding RNA from Chiloscyllium plagiosum (whitespotted bambooshark), 1367 nucleotides. NCBI's taxonomy places the organism in Eukaryota, Metazoa, Chordata, Chondrichthyes, Orectolobiformes, Hemiscylliidae. The record is from the annotation of a RefSeq genome assembly.
GUGUGCAAAGCAGUACCAAGUUGGGAAGGAUAAUGUUCGAUGCUGUUUCUCUGUAUCUCCUGUUACUGCUGCUCGCAGCUGGCUGCAGGAGCACCUUUAUACUCCAGUCGGAGAACACAUUGUCUGUUGGAGAAGGGAGGACGGCGGAGAUGCACUGUUCCCAAAACGAUACUAGCCAUAGCUACAUGUACUGGUACCGCCAGCUAAGGGGAGCACGCCUGCAGCUCAUAGCAACCUCGAUUAAUACAGCAGCACCCACGUUCGAAGAGGAUUUCAAGGCAAGGUUUGAAGGCACCAGACAUGAUCUUAAAUCAUGCAGUUUAAAAAUCCUUCAGCUGCAGACGUCUGAUACUGCACUUUAUUACUGUGCUGCCAGUGAUCACAGCAAUACAAACAAGUGCAGGUCUGUUGCUAAAACCGAGUGAGCAGAUGCAAGCAGAUGGAUUGGAAACCUCGAGUUCACAACGUUCAUAAUUGCAUCCAUUCCUCACUGAUAAUUGCACCCUUUCAUACAAACUGUAUUGGCAUAAAAAUGUUGUCGAAGUAAUAGCAGCGAUUUACAAUCCAAUCAAAGAAUAAGGGACCCUGUUCAUUUCUCGCCGAGCCGGGUAGAUAGUCUCAUGUAAAAUAAUAAUUUGUAGGGGGCAGACAUUCCAUUAUGACCGACUGUUGUGUUUUACGAAACUACUGUCUGUUUGAGUUUACAAUUUAUCCUUUUUAAUCGAACCGCGAAUUUAAUCAUGUUCAAAUAUAUAGCUAACGCUCAUUUGGCACAGUAUAACAAUAGAACCCAAAUGAUGCGGAAAUAGACCAUUCGGCCCAUCGAAUCUGCACUGAAUCACUGAACACUGUCUCACCAGAGAUCCGCUCUCCUAUUCCAAUCACCGCGCAUUUAUAAUGGCUAACUCACCUGCUCAUUUCUGUGCAGUAUUCGGUAAUUUCGCACGGUCAAUUCACUUAACCUGCAUGCAAUAAACAAUACAGGACUAGGAAUAAUUGAAACCCUUCUGGAUGAUCUCGACAGGGCACGAUUCGCGCAAUAAACCACUUCUGCCAGGUAUCAACUGAGCAGUCCACCUCUCCCCAGAUGAGUUUGCUGAUGUUUCCUUUUUGAAUAUGUAUUGACCCAGCCAGCCUUUUCGCUUUUUAUAACGUUGUGGCUCCAGGGCUUCCGAAUGGAGCUGUCUUCACGCUCCAGCUCAGUGAGGGACACCAGUUGAUCUCGCUGGACGAGUUUACAUGCAACUGCGGCAGAAUUGAUGGCACGAAGUGUUGGAAACUGAACGAAAUUCCAUCUCUGUUACCAAUUGGUAUCGUAGCCAAGUGUACUCCAUUGGUAUGGGACCUAUUACAUCUUCUGAUAACUG